Molecule: small nucleolar RNA, 118 nt
Filed under: Drosophila melanogaster (fruit fly)
Lineage: Eukaryota; Metazoa; Arthropoda; Insecta; Diptera; Drosophilidae
Description: small nucleolar RNA Me18S-G393
Source: RNAcentral
CCUGUCAUGCUGAAUUUUAAUGUGGCUCCCUUUCCUGAUGUAUGAUUUGAUAAUUUAUAAUUAAAAUAAACAAACAAUGCAGGACAUCAUAAGUGUUUGCUACUCCGAAUCUGAAAGU